RNAcentral lists this transfer RNA (72 nucleotides) under Candidatus Tariuqbacter arcticus. RNAcentral's name for it is "tRNA-Glu". It matches the Rfam family "tRNA". Rfam says of the family: Transfer RNA (tRNA) molecules are approximately 80 nucleotides in length. Their secondary structure includes four short double-helical elements and three loops (D, anti-codon, and T loops). Further hydrogen bonds mediate the characteristic L-shaped molecular structure. tRNAs have two regions of fundamental functional importance: the anti-codon, which is responsible for specific mRNA codon recognition, and the 3' end, to which the tRNAs corresponding amino acid is attached (by aminoacyl-tRNA synthetases). tRNAs cope with the degeneracy of the genetic code in two manners: having more than one tRNA (with a specific anti-codon) for a particular amino acid; and 'wobble' base-pairing, i.e. permitting non-standard base-pairing at the 3rd anti-codon position. Lineage: Bacteria; Pseudomonadati; Candidatus Electryoneota; Candidatus Tariuqbacteria; Candidatus Tariuqbacterales; Candidatus Tariuqbacteraceae. The record is from RNAcentral.
GGCGCCAUCGUCUAGGGGUUAGGACGCCGGCCUCUCACGCCGGUAGCGGGGGUUCGAUUCCCCCUGGCGCUA